This 503-nucleotide ribosomal RNA is filed under the name uncultured bacterium. RNAcentral's name for it is "partial 16S ribosomal RNA". It matches the Rfam family "Bacterial small subunit ribosomal RNA", at positions 28 to 523 of the family's 1533-position model. The record is from RNAcentral.
GAUGAACGCUGGCGGCGUGCCUAAUACAUGCAAGUCGAACGAAGAUCUAGCUUGCUAGAUCUUAGUGGCGAACGGGUGAGUAAUACAUAAAUAAUCUGCCCAUAUGACUGGGAUAACUAUUGGAAACGAUAGCUAAUACCGGAUAGGUUGAUUGGAGGCAUCUCUGAUUAAUUAAAGUAGGAUUUCUACACAAAUGGAUGAGUUUAUGGCGCAUUAGUUAGUUGGUGGGGUAACGGCCUACCAAGACGAUGAUGCGUAGCCGACCUGAGAGGGUGACCGGCCACACUGGGACUGAGACACGGCCCAGACUCCUACGGGAGGCAGCAGUAGGGAAUUUUCGGCAAUGGGCGCAAGCCUGACCGAGCAACGCCGCGUGAGUGAUUAAGGCCUUCGGGUUGUAAAGCCCUGUUGUAAGGGAAGAACAUUCAGGAUAGGAAAUGAUCUUGAACUGACGGUACCUUACCAGAAAGCCACGGCUAACUACGUGCCAGCAGCCGCAGUAA